Molecule: ribosomal RNA, 601 nt
Filed under: uncultured bacterium
Lineage: Bacteria
Description: bacterial SSU rRNA
Rfam family: Bacterial small subunit ribosomal RNA
Source: RNAcentral
CCUUUACUGACGCUAAAGCUCGAAGGUGCGGGUAUCGAACAGGAUUAGAUACCCUGGUAGUCCGCACGGUAAACGAUGGAUGCCCGCUGUUUGCGAUAUACUGUGAGCGGCCAAGAGAAAUCGUUAAGCAUCCCACCUGGGGAGUACGCCGGCAACGGUGAAACUCAAAGGAAUUGACGGGGGCCCGCACAAGCGGAGGAACAUGUGGUUUAAUUCGAUGAUACGCGAGGAACCUUACCCGGGCUUGAACUGCCAGUGAACGAUACAGAGAUGUUGAGGCCCUUCGGGGCGCUGGUGGAGGUGCUGCAUGGUUGUCGUCAGCUCGUGCCGUGAGGUGUCGGCUUAAGUGCCAUAACGAGCGCAACCCUUUUCUUUAGUUGCCAUCAGGUGAUGCUGGGCACUCUGGAGAUACUGCCACCGUAAGGUGUGAGGAAGGUGGGGAUGACGUCAAAUCAGCACGGCCCUUACGUCCGGGGCUACACACGUGUUACAAUGGGAGGUACAGAGAGAAGGUGUUCCGCAAGGCGCAUCAAAUCCUCAAAGCCUUCCUCAGUUCGGAUUGGGGUCUGCAACCCGACCCCAUGAAGCUGGAUUCGCUAGU